ACCACCGCUCCACACAUUUCCUGGGCGCUUUCCCUCUGUCUCCACAGUUCCUUUUGAAGCUGUCCUCCUGACUCCUAAGGCCACUCCCGGUGCACAACGACGUUGUCUUUCUGUUGGUUUCCUACGAUUGUUUACUGGUCAGUUACUCACGUGGCUCCCUCAACUUUGCAAGAAUUUAACUUCCUGGAACACAGCCCCAGUUGCCCUGCCAAGCUUUCCCUCAGUCUGGCCUUUAAAGUCCUCUCCAGUGUGACCCCAGUGACUUUUCCAACUUUAUUUCCCAUUCUCCCUUAGGCCUUUUGCUCCUGUGCGAGUAAGUUCCCUGAUCCCACAUUUCCCCUGCAGUAUUCUGCCUCGGUGCCAUUGCCCGCUCUGGAUAAUGUUCCUCUUUCCAUAUGGUACACACUGAUGUCCCCUAACUAGACAUGAUCCCGUCCUACUUUGUAGGAUAUUCAUUUACGUGUGUGUCUCAUCUCUUCUCAGAUUUCCAGCUGCUUUGGCGAAAGAUUGUACCUGCUUCACACCCUGAACUGUGAAUGUCUUGUGAUUGCUGUAUUUAAGGAAGAGGCCUGAUCCCUUAGCCAAAACCCUGGAGAACAGAUGUGCUUUGGAACUGAGAACUUUUCAGAUCUUAAAAAGCAUCAAGUCAGUCAAGAGCUCCAAGUUCCAAGUCCAAAGACCAGCAUCUCAUCUGGAGAUAAGUUCUUUCCACCUAUGAUCCUGUAAAAUCAAAACCAAAUUACUUACUUCGAAGAUACAAUGGUGGAACAGGCAUCAGGUAAACAUUUCCCUUCUAAAAAGGGGAAAAAUGGCCCAAAGAAAAAGGUAACAAGCCCAACCCAAGUCUGAAACCUAGCAGGGCAGUCUAGUCUUAAAGCUCCAAAAGAAUCUCCUUUGACUCCACUUCCCACAUCCAGGGCACACAGGAGCAAGGGGUGGCAAUAUGGUUUGGUUCUUUAUCCCUGCCCAAAUCUCAUGUUCAGUUGUAUUCCCCAGUCUUAGAAGAGGCCUGGCGGAAGAUGAUGAGAUCAUGGGAGUGGAUCGCUCAUGAAUGCUUUAGUACUAUCCUCUUGGUUAUGUCUUCAUGAUAGUGAAUGAGUUCUGGUGAGAUCUAGUCAUUUAAAUGUGUCUGACAACUCUCUCCUCUCUUCCUUGCCAUGUGACAUGCCUGCUCCUGCUUCAUCUUCUGCCAUGAUUGUAAGCUUCUUGAGGUCCCCCAGAAGCUGAUAUCAGAACUGUGCUUCUUGUAUAGCCUGCAGAACUGUGAGCCAAUUAAACUUCUUUUCCUUAUAAAA
Callithrix jacchus (white-tufted-ear marmoset) is the source of this 1295-nucleotide non-coding RNA. NCBI's taxonomy places the organism in Eukaryota, Metazoa, Chordata, Mammalia, Primates, Cebidae. The record is from RefSeq and is a predicted model, not a curated record.